AAAGGGAGACCUAAUUCAGGUAGGAGACGAAAAAAAAGUAGUCGCUACCAAGAAUCAAUCCCAAAAGGUCGGAGCGAGGCGAAAUUGGCUUUCAAACUAGGUUCUGGGUUCACACAAGACCUGAAUCAGGAACAAGGGCUAUUAGCUCAGGUGGUUAGAGCGCACCCCUGAUAAGGGUGAGGUCCCUGGUUCGAGUCCAGGAUGGCCCACCUGUACAGGUGGCAAAAAGAAAGAAAAGAAGCGAGGAAUCAGCACCUUAUCUUACUGACAUAGUAAGAGAGAAUGCUGGCUCUGAGUAAAGAGUCCAGAGGAACCUUGAAAACUGCAUAGAGCUAGGUGAAAAAGCCAAAAAAGAAGACCGCAAG
This 365-nucleotide transfer RNA is filed under the name uncultured Microcystis sp. Its description in RNAcentral is "partial 16S-23S ribosomal RNA intergenic spacer". The stretch from base 136 to 209 matches the Rfam family "tRNA". Lineage: Bacteria; Bacillati; Cyanobacteriota; Cyanophyceae; Chroococcales; Microcystaceae. The record is from RNAcentral.